ACUAAAUUAAUUGUACCUAUACUUUUACGUUGAACACAUUAUAAUUAUUGGAUUUGAUUAAUUAUUUUAUGAAGAUUAUGCAUGUUCAUUUUUAAUUUGUUGGGUUUACACGAAAAUUAAUAAUGUUAUCAGGUAACUUAAUUAAGCAUUCAAGCAGAUUCUUAGUUCCUCAAUAUAUAGUCACAUAUAAGGUUUGUGAUUAAUUGUUUAUAGACACUAACUUGAAAAUGUUUGAUUAUGCAGAAAGGUUGGGUCUACCGCGAGCACCACCAGUCCCCAGGGUACUAUGAUGGACGCUACUGGACUAUGUGGAAACUACCCAUGUUUGGAUGCACUGAGGCAUCUCAGGUGCUGAUUGAGCUCGAGGAGGCGAAGAAAGCUUACCCUAACUCCUUUAUCCGUAUCAUUGGAUUCGACAACACUCGUCAAGUGCAGUGCAUCAGUUUUAUCGCCUCCAAGCCGAAGGGUGUCUAGGUUUCAAGAUUUGAUGAGUCCCUAGCUAUCUGUUAGGGUUGCUUUGUUCAAAUUGUACCUGGGCUCUGGCAAAAAGAUCGUUGCUUUUCCUUUUUUUAUUGGGUUUUUGAAGAUCAAUAUUCUACUUUGUUUUUGCUUUCUGGAUUCGGAUGCUGAAUCGAACGCUGAGACUAGUUGAAUAAAAAGUUGUUUAUUUUUAAUUAGAGAUGAUCCGUGCAUGUGAAACCAUUAAUCUGGUAUGCCUCUUUGCCUUCAGCAUCUUUGAUUGAUGUUUAUACAUAUAUAUAUAGUGUUGAUUUUAAGGCACAAUUAAUGGAGGAAUGGCUCUUUCCUGUGACUUUAAAUUAGUCUAAUUCAAAA
Molecule: long non-coding RNA, 834 nt
Filed under: Populus trichocarpa (black cottonwood)
Lineage: Eukaryota; Viridiplantae; Streptophyta; Magnoliopsida; Malpighiales; Salicaceae
Description: long non-coding RNA (PTRI_LNC003882)
Source: RNAcentral